UACGAAGGGGGCGAGCGUUGUUCGGAAUCACUGGGCGUAAAGGGCGCGUAGGCGGCCCUCCUUGUCGCGUGUGAAAGCCCCGGGCUCAACCUGGGAACGGCGCGCGAGACGGGGGGGCUGGAGUUCGGGAGAGGAGCGUGGAAUUCCCAGUGUAGCGGUGAAAUGCGUAGAUAUUGGGAAGAACACCUGAGGCGAAGGCGGGAUGCUGGGCCGACACUGACGCUGAGGCGCGAAAGCCAGGGGAGCAAACGGG
Molecule: ribosomal RNA, 253 nt
Filed under: uncultured bacterium
Lineage: Bacteria
Description: partial 16S ribosomal RNA
Rfam family: Bacterial small subunit ribosomal RNA
Source: RNAcentral